AGAGCACACGGGGGAUGCCUUGGAGCCGAUGGCCGAAGAAGGACGUGGCAAGCUGCGAAAAGCCGCGGUUAGGUGCAAGCGACCGAAUGACCCGCGGAUGUCCGAAUGGGGAAACCUGCCCGGGGUAAUGCUCGGGCGACCUUACGAGGUCGGCGACCCGGUGAAGUGAAACAUCUCAGUAACCGGAGGAGAAGAAAUCGAAGAGAUGCCCUCAGUAGUGGUGAGCGAAAGGGGCGUAGCCUAAACCAGGGGCGUGUCAAGCCUGCAAGCGUUGCGUUUCUGGGGUAGCGGGACAGAUUGGGGAGCGUUGCAGAGCUUCCAGGGAGUUACAAAGGAUUUCUCUAGUUGAAAGGUGUUGGAACAGCCUGCCGCAGAGGGUGAUAGCCCCGUAAGCGAAAGAGAAGUCUCUCCCGAUUUGCUCCCGAGUAGGGCGGAGCACGUGGAAUUCCGUCUGAAUCAGGGUGGCCCACCAUCCAAGGCUAAAUACCAUCGGCUACCGAUAGUGAAGCAGUACCGAGAGGGAAAGGUGAAAAGCACCCCUGGCGGGGAGUGAAAUAGACCUGAAACCGUGUGCUUACAAGCAGUCGGAGCCUCGAGAGGGGUGACGGCGUGCCUCUUGGAAAAUGAGCCAGCGAGUUGCAUUACGUGGCGAGGUUAAGGACUCUAAGGUCCGGAGCCGAAGGGAAACCGAGUCCGAAUAGGGCGAUAAGUCUCGUGGUGCAGACCCGAAGCCGGACGAUCUAUCCAUGGACAGAGUGAAGGUCGGGUAAAACCGACUGGAGGCUCGCACCGUCGUCUGUUGAAAAAGACUUGGAUGAGCUGUGGAUAGGAGUGAAAAGCUAAUCGAGUUCGGUGAUAGCUGGUUCUCCCCGAAAUGCAUUGAGGUGCAGCCUCGCGAGUUAGAAAGUGACGGGGGUAGAGCACUGGAUGGGUGCGGGGGACAUAGGUCUUACCAAAUCCAACUAAACUCCGAAUACCGUUACUGGAUGCGCGGGAGUGAGACUACGGGUGAGAAGGUCCGUGGUCGAGAGGGAAAGAACCCAGACCGCCAGCUAAGGUCCCGAAGAGCGUGCUAAGUGUGACAAGGAUGUGGUGACACCCAGACAGCCAGGAGGUUGGCUUAGAAGCAGCCAUCCUUGAAAGAGUGCGUAAUAGCUCACUGGUCGAGUGUUGCCGCGCCGAAAAUGUGGGGGGCUAAGCACGCCGCCGAAGCUGCGGAUGUACGGAUAUAGGUCUGUACGUGGUAGGGGAGCGUUCUGUACGGGUAGAAGUCGGUUCGUGAGGACUGGUGGACUGUACGGAAGUGAGAAUGCUGGCAUGAGUAGCGCGAAACAUGUGAGAAACAUGUUCGCCGGAUGCCCAAGGAUUCCUGGGGAAGGUUCAUCCACCCAGGGUUAGGCGGGACCUAAGCCGAGGCUGAAGAGCGUAGGCGAUGGACAGCAGGUAGACAAUCCUGCCCCGACGUGGAUCCGCAUGGACCGAAGCGGGGACGCAGAAAGCUAGGUGCGCCGGGUGAUGGAAGUCCCGGUUCAAGGUCGUAGGGGGGUUACGUAGGCAAGACCGCGUGGCCAUAACCCUGAGAGCCGAGUGGGAGCCCCCACGGGGGCGAAGGCAUUGACGCUCAGCUGCCAAGAAAAGCCGCUAGGGAGGAUCUGGGUCGCCCGUACUGUAAACCGACACAGGUGGGCUGGCUGAGAAGGCUAAGGCGGACGGGAGAACCCUCUUUAAGGAACUCUGCAAGUUGACCCCGUAACUUCGGGAGAAGGGGUGCCACCCUGGUGAAGCGUAUGACAUGUGGAGCUAAGGGUGGUCGCAGAUACCAGGCCCAGGCGACUGUUUACUAAAAACACAGGACUCUGCAUAAGCCGUAAGGCGACGUAUAGGGUCUGACGCCUGCCCGGUGCUGGAAGGUUAAGGGGAUCGGUUAGUGAGGGGAGACUCUUGCGAAGCUGUGAACUGAAGCCCCAGUAAACGGCGGCCGUAACUAUAACGGUCCUAAGGUAGCGAAAUUCCUUGUCGGGUAAGUUCCGACCUGCACGAAAGGCGUAACGAUCUGGGCGCUGUCUCGAAGGGGGACCCGGCGAAAUUGUGGUACUGGUCAAGACGCCAGUUACCCGUGGUGGGACGGAAAGACCCCGUGGAGCUUUACUGUAUCUUGAUAUUGGAUUUCGGUAAGUCAUGUACAGUAUAGGUGGGAGACUUAGAAGGCAGGGCGCUAGCUUUGCUGGAGUCGUCGUUGGGAUACCACCCUUGACGUACUGGGGUUCUAACCGUCAGGUCUGAAUCGGCCGACGGGACAUUGUCAGGUGGGCAGUUUGACUGGGGCGGUCGCCUCCUAAAGAGUAACGGAGGCGCGCGAAGGUUACCUCAGGGCGAAUGGAAAUCGCCUUUAGAGCGCAAGGGUAUAAGGUAGCCUGACUGUGAGACAGACAUGUCGAACAGGAGCGAAAGCUGGUCCUAGUGAUCCGGCGGUGCUGAGUGGAAAGGCCGUCGCUCAUCGGAUAAAAGCUACCCCGGGGAUAACAGGCUGAUCUCCCCCGAGAGUUCCCAUCGACGGGGAGGUUUGGCACCUCGAUGUCGGCUCAUCGCAUCCUGGGGCUGGAGAAGGUCCCAAGGGUUGGUCUGUUCGCCCAUUAAAGCGGUACGUGAGCUGGGUUUAGAACGUCGUGAGACAGUUCGGUCCCUAUCCACCAUGGGCGUAGGGUAUUUGAGGGGAGCUGCUCCUAGUACGAGAGGACCGGAGUGGACGCACCGCUAGUGUACCGGUUGUCGCGCCAGCGGCAUAAGCCGGGUAGCCAUGUGCGGAUCGGAUAACCGCUGAAGGCAUCUAAGUGGGAAACCGACCCCAAGAUGAGAUACCCCACUGGGAAGCCAGGUAAGGUGUCCUGUAGACUACAGGGUUGAUAGGCCGGGGGUGUAAGCGUUGAGAGGCGUUGAGCCGACCGGUACUAAUACACCGAGGCCUUGACC
This 2970-nucleotide ribosomal RNA is filed under the name activated sludge metagenome. RNAcentral's name for it is "bacterial LSU rRNA". It matches the Rfam family "Bacterial large subunit ribosomal RNA". The record is from RNAcentral.